AGAAAGAAAUGCUCUUAGUUGCCCUACGAGCAAAACCCACAUGUGCUUUAAUUAUUGAUUUUCUUUGUUUCCUUCUUUAUUUCUUAAAGGUUUGUACAAACUUGGUUCCUCUUGUGCUUAUUUAUAAUAUAUAAACAGUAGGGGGCAACUCCUCCUGUUCCAUAAAAAAAAUACUUCAUGUGCAUGGAUUCAUUUUUAUAGUACCAUUAACCUUGUGACAAGGAAGAACUACAAAUUUUGGGUUACCCAAUUUUUCAAUCACGAGAAAGAUGCACCUCACACACACACACACACCAUGUUACUUCACUUCGACCAGUAUACUUUGUAAAGACGUGUUUUGCGGAACUCCUCUAAAAGAAGUAGUUCUUUGACUAAAAGUAAUCCUCUGUGCAAGGCUGGACAUUGCUGGGUUAGCCAAGCCUGGAUAGCUAAG
This 433-nucleotide long non-coding RNA is filed under the name Setaria viridis. Its description in RNAcentral is "long non-coding RNA (SVIR_LNC011245)". The record is from RNAcentral. Lineage: Eukaryota; Viridiplantae; Streptophyta; Magnoliopsida; Poales; Poaceae.